UCGGAUCCGGUCCUGCCAGUAGAAACCGAAGGGGAACGUACCCCUUCCCCUCCCCUCCGCUUCUCCCCGGCCAGGGUUGGGGCGUCUUCCCUUCCCUUUUCUCUCCUUUUCCCUCGGCGGGGUCAGAGAUCCCGAGCGAAGGAAAUCCCCCUCCACGCCCUUUUGCAGGAGCUUUUAUUUUAUUUGAAGGUGACUCCAAAUCGCCCCUCCCGCGCCCCGCCAUCGGAUUUUUUUUUUUUUUGCGCCGCAAAUCUGAGCUCUUCAUUUUGCGCCACAAAUCUGAGGUCGGAAAGAAGGAGAGCUGAACGGCGAGAAAAGUUGAUCUCAAGCCGCUCGUGGAGGAGGCUGUUUUGGAGUAAAAGAGUCGAUCUUCAGUGUGACAUCAGAUUUCUGGAGUUUUUGAACUGAGAAGAAGCUGAGAUUUUUGCCUUGGGAGAAUUGCAAAUAUACACAGAGAAGAGUGUAUCCUUUUUGAGUGGAAGAGGGGGGAUCUGGACAUGUAUUUUCUUAAGACGGCCACUGUUGGGUUGUCUUGAAAAAGCUUGUGAUGUGGCAGACCACUGAAUUUUGCAACGUAUAAGUAACCUAAUACAUGCCAUAUGUAUUGCCUGGACCAAGAGGAUAUAUUCCUGACAGCCAAGACCUGGAAUGGUUCCAAGGCUGGAUGAUUUAUGGAGCAACCAUCAUUGUGGUUUACUGCAGGACUGAGCUAGCAACCUCAGUCGCCAAUGGCAUGAAGCACCACAAGCCAAGCUAACUCUAGCAGGAGUGAAACGCACAACAAUACUGUAUUCUGUUUGUGGAGAGCUGAUUGUGGAGAACUUCAGACUUCCUUUGCCGGGCAACUAAGCGGACUUGUUGGUCUGGUUUACACAUAUCUGCAUUUUCCUUCUUUGCGCUUGGCCUGGAGAGACCCACACCAAAGAGACCUCAGAUUCCUUCCCUGCGCCAUGUUCUUAAGCAGAGUUCGGUCAUGGCUCCCAGCACUGCCUUGGCGACAAGGAAAAGCAAAGCAGAUGGAGGAUGAGCAUGAGGCUUUGCCGGAGUGCCAGGCACCUCCUAAGGCAAGAUGGUGGAGUGGCCGUCGGAUAUGGGAAGCCAUCCGGUGGGACCGAAGUCCUGCUGCAGGAGAGCAGUCCCUAUUAGCUGGUAUACCCCAGCAUCUUUCCCCCCACCAUACACUGCCCACAGAAUCUCCAGAACACUUCCAGAUCUCCUUCAACUUUACUCGCCACCUGUUUGACUUGUGUGUGGUAACAUUGCUCUGUGCAUCCUCUCCGGCGUUUCGGCUGGCUUUGGACAUCCUAGGCUUUGGAGGUCCCCUGAAGGUCUGGCUCCAUGGCUUUGCUUGUUUCCUGGUCACGGCUUAUGGGAUGUACUUGGCCCUCUGGUUGGUGCAGGAGUAUAUUGUGCAGUUCGCCUGUCUCUAUGGCUUCCUUCAGACCUUGGUCUUGUGCGUCAGUAUCCGGGCCGGAGAAUGUGAGAACCAAGAGGGAGGCCAGGGUGCAACUCCUGACGCACCCAAGGAAGAUGAACAGUCAGACGCUGAAUUGCACAAACAGUAAUCGCUGUUCCAAGAAGGAAGAACGUGUUGAUUCAACUCCUGUGGCCAUCGGGGAAGAUGUUGGGGGGUGGGGUGGGGGUGGAAACCAAAGGAAUCAACUAAGGUGGCCCUUGCUGAGAACCGAAAAAGGAAGCUUGUCUUUUGUAUUUAAGGAGGACAAAAAAAGAUGGUGGGUUUUUUGUUUUUGUUUUUUGCUGUGUGUAAGUUUGCAAAAAUGAACGUGGUUACAGGGAAAUGACUCAGGGGAUCUGAUACAGAGUCUUAACUUGUAAAUGGUUACCAGACCAGUCUGUGAAUGGCUGGGAGGGAAGACCCCGACAGGCAAGCAGAGAAAUAAAAACAACAACUAGUAGGCCUUUGUGGAGCAGAGUUAGAGGAGGGAAGAGAGCUUGGACAAAUGUAUACUUCAAACUUAAGCCAGCCUCAAACUGCUUUCCUUGUCAGGGUCCCUCCUUCCACCCCUGAGGAAUCUGGAAAAUGUAGUUUUGGAGGAAGGGACAGGAAGGCGUGCUUAGAGUUCUUUGCUGGGAAUUCUGAGCUUUUGGGGAGUUGAUAGCAGCUUAGUUGGCAGUUUUGGCAGAAACGGAUGUGAAAACGGCAUGCACCCUGCCCGUCCAGUCUCUCUGGGCCUGUGUUUUCAUCCCACUCUGGGCCUUUUGCUUGUCCCCAUCCAUCUACAUUUCAGGUAGGGGUUGCUUAUUGGUCCAGUUUGAGCCAUACAGAAGGAAUUAUUGGGACCAUGCUGUGAAACUACAGAACAAACACCUGUGAUCUUGCAACUCCAGCAAGUUGGCUGCUAUUUGGACUCAACGCUUAGGGUUGGAAUAAUUGGGCCCAUGGGAGGUCUGGGAGGCUAGGAAGAACAAGUAAACUGCACCUUUCCCCUUUGCAGUGCAGUCUUGUCAGGCCAGAUAAAUCCAGUUCUAGUACAGUGAGAGGGGAAGAAAUCUUACCUAAUCAGGGCCAAAGAGGGGAUUUAACUUUAACUGAGCCAUAGUAGACUUUAAGGGUGGAAGGGUGGAAGGGUUUGAGGGGCAGAUCUAGAAGACUGACAGAUUGUCUUCAGCGGAGCCACAAGGGUGUAUAAUCCAUCGAGUAUGUAUGAAGUCUUCUCUGCCCUCAGAAAGGAGACUGAGAUGGGGAAUUAAGAAAUGGAAAAAUUAAAUACGCAGGGGAACACUACUACUACUUAAAUCUGAUGUUUUAAUGAACUGGGGGAGGAGAAUGACAAAGGAUUCCAGGGGGUCAUAAUUUGGGAGAAGCAGCUGCAAGGAAUCGCAGAAUAAAAUGCAAAACUCAGCCGAAAGCAAAUAACUUACUGAGCUGACCAUUUUUGCUCCUCCUGGAUCUGGGGCGGGAUGGCUUUUCACAACUUAACUGUGAUAAAAAUAAAAAGGGGAGGAGAUGUCCAGAAAGCUAAUUCUGAGCCUACAAUUUCUGCUAGAUCUGAGCCUUGAAUUUCGAUUUCUUCUUCACCAGCAUUUAGAAUUAUCUGCAGGUCUGGGAAGGGACGAGGCUCCUCCCCCUGUUCUGGUUUUUACCCUUUUGCAGUACUAACUCCUGGAUCACAGCUCAUGGUUACCAAAGUGGGAGGUAGAUUGCUCUAACAAGUUGUAUACAGUGUCUUUCUUCUGUCCAUUUUGUGCCAGCCUAUAGGGCAGAUAGCCAUUUUGCCGUAUUACUUGGCAGGGUGGUACAGCGAACAAACCAGACGCGUGUGAGGGAGUCCAUUUCGGGGCAAUCUGGCCAUUCAUAGCUGAGAUAAGGAAUGGAGUUCUUACUUACUUUAUUUCAAGUAUUGUACAAACGCUUUUGCUGGCAGCCAUGGGCCAAAUUGAUCCCCUUUUCAAAGACGUGUUUGUCAUUAUAAGGGAGUAAUUAUAUCAUGUCAAGCCAUUGCAGCCUGGGACCUCUGGAACAGAUGUGGUGGUCUCGGGAAGGCUGAAAUGGUGUCUGUCUGGAAUUAGAGAGCCUGAUUCCAGAAUGGGUUGUGAAUUCCUCAUGAACGUUUCUAGCUUGAUUGGCAGACUUUGUGCCCUGAAAUCUAGAACAAUGGCCACACCUUGGUCUAAAACAAGCAACCCAUUGCCAUAGCACAACCGCAUCCACUACUUCUAAUUAUAUGGCACUGAUAUGCUAAUUCUGCAUCUCAGAUAUGCAGCUGCCUUUUUAAAAAUUAAACCCAUCCUCUGGCACUUUUAAAAAAUCUAACUCCAUUAGAAUGUCCACUUGAACUGUCCCCCUUUCUUAUUUCUGUGUCCUCCCAAAUGAUGGGGUUGGCAUCCAUCUGUCUAUAUGUAGCAAAAGAAAACUACAUUCAAUCAGAAAAUCUGUUCUUUGCUUGGAAUAAACAUAACGGGGAUUCAAAACUUCUCCAAAAGAGCCAAGCAUUUUUCUUUCCUGCGAAGGGUUUUUUCUACUGCGUUUCCUAGCCCUAAAUGAAAAUACCCAGAUAGUAUCUUCUGAUAGAACAUCUGCCAUUGAUUUAAGAUUCUUUCCUCCUCGAGGAAUCUAGAAUUGCUAUUUUCUAUUUGUGCCACCUGCCUUUGGCAAGAAUCAAACCAUAAAUCUCUCGGUUCUGGUCUAGAAUGCCUUCCUUACAAACUUCUGGCCUGCUAUACUGGCCAGUGUUGGACUGUAGUUAUCACUAUGUUGAGAUAAUCUUGUUAUGACUCGGUCUUAGGUGCACACCCCUAGAAGCAAGCCUUGUUGUUUUUGGUGCGAUAUCGAUGUGGUUGAAUAGGAUUUGGAGGCAACUAAACAUCACCAUUUCUAUCAGGGCUGGCUCUGGGGUUUUGGGAAAUCUAGGAUUGGAAGACCUGUCCUCAUUGCCAAGUGGAGCAUUUUGCUAGUUUCUCUUUCUAGCUGGAGACGGGACCCGAUUCAGCUGCUCCGGGGGUUUGUGAGAUAGUUGAGCACGUUAGGAAUCGUAGCAGCCAAGUUGCAAGAGUAUAAUAGCAGGUACCUGUCACCAGGUUCAGCACCCUCGUGGCUUGUUACAUGGUGGUGCCAACCAUAUCUGCGAUGUCGUGAGUCCUCCUCGUGAUACAUAAAUGUGGUGCAAAGAAAUACACAGUUCUGGAGCUGCAUAGCGGUUGUUGGAGAGUUCAUACAUGUACCAGCCAGACCUUGUCAGAGAUUUCUCAGGUUGACUGAAGCACACCGUUGGUUUGGGCUGGAUGUACAUUAGAACUGUUACAUUAUUCAUAUUUUUAAUACAAUCUAGUUGGCCAAUGUAGAACAAAGCCACCAGCAUCCUUCCUUAGCACAAAGACUUACUGAAUCCCUGCCUUUAUGCCAUUUGGAUGCAAUCUUCCCUAAAUCCCCUUCUCCUUCCUCCUCCUUUCAUUGAGUGCUCUUUAAACACUGGUGACAUUCUUCUUCGACAAGAACAGUAAAAAAAUGGCAUGGUGGUUGUCCAGAAGGCCUUCACCCUUUGGAAGCAGAGGGAAUGAAGAUUCUGAGAACUUGUAUACAUGAGUGCUUUUCUGGAGCAAUCCUCUCCCCCCAACCUUCAUUAUACAGAGGUAUUCCUUUCAGAUCUGUUGGACUGGAUCCUGUGGUCAAGGUUCUUUCCAUUGGAGGAAAGUGCUCCUACUAGCAGAAGAGUUCUUGUGGGCUCCUACCUAUAAUGUGAUCGCUGUGUAAAACAUUACUGGCAUGAUGGAUUACCUCUGCCGCAACAACAAACACUUGUUUGUCCCUUUGAAAAGAAAAAAGAUGGAGGAGAAGAAAAGGUUCUUCAAAUGACAAGAGUAGGAAUGAGAGGCUCGCUGUCUUUUUUUUAAAAAAGCAUGAUCUAGCUAAAGUUAAUUGUAAAUAAAUCACGUUAAAAGCAUAAGGGUGGGACUUGGUGUGUUACCUCAGUGAGCAUGGAUUCCCAAAACCAUGUUUGCUGAAGUAAUGUAAAUAGGAGGUAGGGGGCGGAGGAAGAAUGUUUAAGGAAAAACUGGCUGGGAAGGGGAAAGCUUGAUUGUUUCCCUGUCUGUUGGUUCUCCCCUAAAAAUACUCAGCCCCCCACAAUUUUUUCCCUUUGCAAAACCUACUUUUCCAUUUCAGAGACCAGCUUGGUUGGGGGAAAGGGUAAGAAAUGGGUUGGGAGGGCAUUUGCAAGGGAGAAUCAGCUGGUGUGUGUGGGGUGGGGGUUAGGAUUUGGUAUUGUCUGGCCUGUCUGCCCACACUUAAGACGAGGCACUGUUUUCUUCCUACCAUGUGGUUCCACCCAAAGUAAGCUGUAAGUAAUUUGUUUCAAGAGGGCUUAGUUGCAACCAAAAUUAGCUGGAUCAGGGCUUCUGUUUUUAAAUAGCUGUGUGUGUGAAAAAGUUAAUCAGCACUCCAUCCUUUACUAAACUAAACUAUUUCUGAAGCCCCUCUAAAUCUGAAGGCAUUGGCAGUUGAGAGAUUGCACUGCCUUAGCAGUGACAUCUUGGGCAUUAGCCAAGUGGUGCCUAUGACAGAAAUUUAGAAACACAGUUGGAUUGUAAGAGUGCUGGUUUCAGAUGUAUGGGAUUGGGAGAUAGUGGUGUCAGGUUUAGGAUUUUAGCAGGUACCACUUGAUGCAUUCUGAACAUUUGGGGGUGGAAAUUGGCUUGUCAGUGACAGAAGUGCAAGCGUUGGUAAGAUCUGUGUCUUGAAAAUGUGCCAUCUGUAUAUGCCCUGAGAGCAAAAAUAUACCUCUUCCUUGUCCUGCUCUGUCUCGCUAAAAGCAAAGAGGUCGAGAUGUUUACUGGUGCCUUUUUCUAGAGAGAACCUUGCUAUGUGCGCGUUUGAAUGCGUAGUAGACAUUCCCCCUACUUUUUGGUUAUUAAUUUAGGAAAGCAUGGGACAUGAAUAGGAUGGGUAUGGGAGAAGCACAUCAACUAACCUGUGUAUCUAUAUCCUGAAUACUGUUCAACAGCUAAACACAAUUGUUCUUGGAUCCAUUUAUUUUUCCUACUUGUGUUAAUAUAAUAUAUAUAUAUAUAUUUAAAUAAAAAGGGAAUCGUCAAAGAAGAGCACAUA
Eublepharis macularius is the source of this 6565-nucleotide long non-coding RNA. RefSeq lists it as uncharacterized. The transcript has 2 exons. The record is from RefSeq and is a predicted model, not a curated record. Lineage: Eukaryota; Metazoa; Chordata; Lepidosauria; Squamata; Eublepharidae.